UUUUUGAUGUUCGCUCUGCUAAUUGCCGAGCUCCUCUUUUAGGAUUGGCUGCCCCUCCGCAUCCCUAAUGUAAUUAAAACAAGGGGGGAAAAAUUAUCAUGGAGGCAGAGGUUAAUGCAAGUGUUUAGCAGAUGCCUUACAGUAAAACCUGAGUUUAAAAAAAAAAAAAAAUUGAAAAAAACCCCAAACAACAAAAAAACCCCUACGAACUCAUUAAAACUUAAAUAUCGGAUAAUCUCAAACCAGCUUACUGCCUGCAUCUAUGCACCUCCACCAGCGUUCACCCGAGUGACUCAGGCGCCUGAAAUCGGUUUCAUGCUUCUUGAACUGGUAUGAUCGGAAAGUUAAGAAGACGGAAAAUGGAGAAGUGUACCUCCCCAGACCUGGAGGGAAAUGGAACGGCGGCCAAAAGGAGUGGGUGUAAAUGCGACAACAAAAAUAAAUACUUUAUAUCACCCUGCAGAACUUAUUUUACUAAGUCAACAUUUUGUUUUUCUGCUGCUCACCUUUUCUUUCCUCUAGGGAGAGACAAUGCUCACUUUUUAUUAGGUAUUCCCUAAAAGUUUGUUUUGAUCCCCGCCCAGGUGUGUGUAUAUGUACAUAUAUAUAUACAAUCAUCAGGCUGAGGUUCAUGUGUGAGCAGAGGCGGCCGGGAAGAGGGGCGAUCAGAUGCUCUUAGGUAAGAUCCCACGGCCCUACAGGCUGCAGGCGACUCAUUGCAAAGCCCCCGUUGUUCGGAGGUGAUUUAUAAAAUCGAGAACGGGGAGAUAUCAAUGUCGUUCAAGUGUGAGCGCUCUGAGAAAUCAGCCUGCAGAAGAGGGCUGCGACUCACAUUCCCUCACAGGCAUUAGCGCCUUUCAAAAUAUUAUCGACAUUUCUGCCGGAGGUCUCAUUGGUGUGUAAUACGGGGCUCAGACAGGCGCUAAUUGAGCACGUAGCGUGUGCGAGGUUGCGAGAAUGAGUGUCGGGGCAGGCUCACACAG
Parus major (Great Tit) is the source of this 983-nucleotide long non-coding RNA. RefSeq lists it as uncharacterized. The transcript is spliced from 3 exons. NCBI's taxonomy places the organism in Eukaryota, Metazoa, Chordata, Aves, Passeriformes, Paridae. The record is from RefSeq and is a predicted model, not a curated record.